AUUGAACGCUGGCGGCAGGCCUAACACAUGCAAGUCGAAUGGUAACAGGAAACAGCUUGCUGUUUCGCUGACGAGUGGCGGACGGGUGAGUAAUGUCUGGGAAACUGCCUGAUGGAGGGGGAUAACUACUGGAAACGGUAGCUAAUACCGCAUAACGUCGCAAGACCAAAGAGGGGGACCUUCGGGCCUCUUGCCAUCAGAUGUGCCCAGAUGGGAUUAGCUAGUAGUGGGUAACGGCUCACCUAGGCGACGAUCCCUAGCUGGUCUGAGAGGAUGACCAGCCACACUGGAACUGAGACACGGUCCAGACUCCUACGGGAGCAGCAGUGGGAAUAUUGCGACAAUGGGCGCAAGCCUGAUGCAGCCAUGCCGCGUGUAUGAAGAAGGCCUUCGGUUGUAAGUAC
Molecule: ribosomal RNA, 404 nt
Filed under: uncultured bacterium
Lineage: Bacteria
Description: bacterial SSU rRNA
Rfam family: Bacterial small subunit ribosomal RNA
Source: RNAcentral